UGUGUGCAUCAUUCUAUUGAUAAAAUAAUAAUAAUAAACGACAUUGUUUAAUAAUUAGAAAUUGGUAAGUAGGAAUUUUCAAAACAACUAGCAAACUACCUACCAAGUCAAUUCAACUGCAAUUCAAGUCAUUGUGCUCCUAUCAACCAAACUUUAUGAAUGGGCCGAUUUACUUAAUACAGUUACUAUUAAAAAGAUUUAUUAAAAAAAAAUUAAUAAAAAGUCAUAUUCAUGCAUAGUAUUUGGUAGAAUUGAUUGCUACAUCCGAUUAAGCCAUUUCGUCUGCAACUUAAUAUGGUUCAAAAUCUCUAACUUAUGACCAAAAAAAAUUACUUGACAAACUAAACAACGAAACUUCACAGAACUCAAUUUUAAUUGUAAUUUGCUAAGUGUAUACAAAUUGAAGAUUAUAAUAUCAAUUAUAUUUGAGAUUCUUAUUGAUAAGUGAUGAAUGUGAAGAAGGUGUUGAAUGUUGAAACUUUGGACCUUGAUUGAAGAAACUCCCAGAUUGACAAUUAGCUUGAUAAUAUCAUCUAAUCAAAUAACGCCCUUCCACUGGUUUAGGGUUUUCUAUUCAUCUUAAAAUGAUAGAAUUCAUUUGAA
Molecule: unclassified non-coding RNA, 603 nt
Filed under: Hevea brasiliensis (rubber tree)
Lineage: Eukaryota; Viridiplantae; Streptophyta; Magnoliopsida; Malpighiales; Euphorbiaceae
Source: RNAcentral